UAGGGAAUCUUCCGCAAUGGACGCAAGUCUGACGGAGCAACGCCGCGUGAGUGAAGAAGGAUUUCGGUUCGUAAAACUCUGUUGUUAGAGAAGAACAGCGCAUAGAGUAACUGUUAUGCGUGUGACGGUAUCUAACCAGAAAGCCACGGCUAACUACGUGCCAGCAGCCGCGGUAAUACGUAGGUGGCAAGCGUUGUCCGGAAUUAUUGGGCGUAAAGAGCUUGUAGGCGGUUCGUCGCGUCUGGUGUGAAAGCCCAUCGCUUAACGGUGGGUUUGCGCCGGGUACGGGCGGGCUAGAGUGCAGUAGGGGAGACUGGAAUUCCCGGUGUAGCGGUGGAAUGUGUAGAUAUCGGGAAGAACACCAAUGGCGAAGGCAGGUCUCUGGGCUGUUACUGACGCUGAGAAGCGAAAGCGUGGGGAGCGAACAGG
Molecule: ribosomal RNA, 429 nt
Filed under: Bacteroidota bacterium
Lineage: Bacteria; Pseudomonadati; Bacteroidota
Description: Bacteroidetes bacterium partial 16S ribosomal RNA
Rfam family: Bacterial small subunit ribosomal RNA
Source: RNAcentral